This is a long non-coding RNA of Alexandromys fortis (reed vole), 457 nucleotides long. RefSeq lists it as uncharacterized. Lineage: Eukaryota; Metazoa; Chordata; Mammalia; Rodentia; Cricetidae. The transcript is spliced from 3 exons. The record is from RefSeq and is a predicted model, not a curated record.
GGCCCACCCUUAGGUGGGUGGAGAAAACAGAAGAGAAUUCUGGGAGAAAGAAGCUUAGUGAGGAGUCGCCAUGAUUCUCCCGGUCCAGACAGACGCAGGUUAAGAUCCUCCCUGGUGAAUCGGUGAGUGGCUGAAAACCAAGCUACUCUAAGGAUAAAGUGUGAGCUGAGGACGGCGGUGGCAGCUACUUAGGAGUGAGCCCAACAGCCACAUGGAAGAAAUGUGCGGGGAGAUCUACAUGCUGGGUCCAUAGGAGGAGAAGGUACGGAAGAGGAAGGGGCUCAGCAGAGGGCUCUCCAAGAACAGCUGCCCACGGGGAAGAGUCUGCCAGAGACCAGUGGCCUCUGCCUGCUGUGUGAGUCCGGACAUGGGGCAGACACUGUCCAGGCCCUGAGGACAUGGGAAGAGACAGGAGGAGAGAGAUGAUGGGGAAUCACAGAGGAAAAGAGGUCUCAGG